Molecule: long non-coding RNA, 499 nt
Filed under: Monodelphis domestica (gray short-tailed opossum)
Lineage: Eukaryota; Metazoa; Chordata; Mammalia; Didelphimorphia; Didelphidae
Description: lncRNA (ENSMODG00000051100.1)
Source: RNAcentral
AUGUUUUUCAUUCUCCAUUGUUGCUCUUCAUUAUACCUGCAGAUAUUACUAUUUACAACAGAUGUCAUCCAUACUGUGGGACCUAUAGCCAGGGGUCACAUCAGUGAUUCUCAUAAAGAAGACCUUGCAAAUUGCUAUAAAUCUUCUCUGAAGUUGGCAAAAGAAAAUAAUAUCAGAUCAAUUUAUGAUUUUGGCUCACUCCUAGUUGAAGAACAUCUUCAAGUCCACCUUCGUGGAGGGAGUUUCUUACUGGAAGUUCCUUGGAUCAAGGAGAGCUACUACUAUAUUGACAAUGAUUAACCUUUUCUGUAAAAUGUGGAUAAAAAUACUUGUACUGAUUCUCAUAGGAUUGUUUUGAGGGGAUGAUAUUCUUUUAUAAAAAUGUAAACUCAAUGAAGUCAUAAACUAUCUUGUCUUUGGAUAAUCAGUGCCUUGUAGUUAUUAAUAAGUGCAUGUUGAAUUGAAUAAAAUAUGUUUUUUAAAUUAUAUUAGUAUUUUA